GGGUUGUGAGGUUAAGCGAAUAAGCGUACACGGUGGAUGCCUAGGCAAUCAGAGGCGAUGAAGGACGUGCUAAUCUGCGAUAAGCGUCGGUAAGGUGAUAUGAACCGUUAUACCCGACGAUUUCCGAAUGGGGAAACCCAAUAUCCAAUGGAUAUUAUCAUGACGUGAAUACAUAGCGUCAUGAAGCGAACCGGGAGAACUGAAACAUCUCAGUACCCCGAGGAAAAGAAAUCAACCGAGAUUCCCCUAGUAGCGGCGAGCGAACGGGGAACAGCCCAGAGUCUUAAUCAAUAGCAGCAUCAGGAGAACGGUCUGGAAAGUCCGGCAGUAAAGGGUGAUAGCCCCGUAUCUGAAGAUGCUGUUAUUGUGAACUCGAUGAGUAGGGCGGGACACGUGUUAUCCUGUCUGAAUAUGGGGGGACCAUCCUCCAAGGCUAAAUACUCCUGAUUGACCGAUAGUGAACCAGUACCGUGAGGGAAAGGCGAAAAGAACCCCGGCGAGGGGAGUGAAAAAGAACCUGAAACCGUGUACGUACAAGCAGUAGGAGCCUCUUUAUGGGGUGACUGCGUACCUUUUGUAUAAUGGGUCAGCGACUUAUAUUCUGUAGCAAGGUUAACCGUAUAGGGGAGCCGUAGGGAAACCGAGUCUUAACUGGGCGAAUGAGUUGCAGGGUAUAGACCCGAAACCCGGUGAUCUAUCCAUGGGCAGGUUGAAGGUUGGGUAACACUAACUGGAGGACCGAACCGACUAAUGUUGAAAAAUUAGCGGAUGACUUGUGGAUGGGGGUGAAAGGCCAAUCAAACCGGGAGAUAGCUGGUUCUCCCCGAAAGCUAUUUAGGUAGCGCCUCGUGAACUCAUCUUCGGGGGUAGAGCACUGUUUCGACUAGGGGGUCAUCCCGACUUACCAACUCGAUGCAAACUGCGAAUACCGAAGAAUGUUAUCACGGGAGACACACGGCGGGUGCUAACGUCCGUCGUGAAGAGGGAAACAACCCAGACCGCCAGCUAAGGUCCCAAAGUCAUGGUUAAGUGGGAAACGAAGUGGGAAGGCUCAGACAGCCAGGAUGUUGGCUUAGAAGCAGCCAUCAUUUAAAGAAAGCGUAAUAGCUCACUGGUCGAGUCGGCCCGCGCGGAAGAUGUAACGGGGCUAAACCAUGCACCGAAGCUGCGGCAGCGACACUAUGUGUUGUUGGGUAGGGGAGCGUUCUGUAAGCCUGCGAAGGUGUACUGUGAGGUAUGCUGGAGGUAUCAGAAGUGCGAAUGCUGACAUAAGUAACGAUAAUGCGGGUGAAAAACCCGCACGCCGGAAGACCAAGGGUUCCUGUCCAACGUUAAUCGGGGCAGGGUGAGUCGACCCCUAAGGCGAGGCUGAAAAGCGUAGUCGAUGGGAAACGGGUUAAUAUUCCCGUACUGGUGGUAACUGCGAUGGGGGAACGGAGAAGGCUAGGUUGUCCGGGCGACGGUCGUCCCGGUUCAAGCAUGUAGGCAGAGUGAUUAGGCAAAUCCGGUCACUUAAUGCUGAGGUGUGAUGACGAGCCACUAAGGUGGUGAAGCAAUUGAUGCCCUGCUUCCAGGAAAAGCCUCUAAGCUUCAGGUUACCAACAAUCGUACCCCAAACCGACACAGGUGGUCAGGUAGAGAAUACUCAGGCGCUUGAGAGAACUCGGGUGAAGGAACUAGGCAAAAUGGUGCCGUAACUUCGGGAGAAGGCACGCUGGCGGUAAGUGAAGUCCCUCGCGGACGGAGCCGAAGCCAGUCGAAGAUACCAGCUGGCUGCAACUGUUUAUUAAAAACACAGCACUGUGCAAACACGAAAGUGGACGUAUACGGUGUGACGCCUGCCCGGUGCUGGAAGGUUAAUUGAUGGGGUUAUCCGUAAGGAGAAGCUCUUGAUCGAAGCCCCAGUAAACGGCGGCCGUAACUAUAACGGUCCUAAGGUAGCGAAAUUCCUUGUCGGGUAAGUUCCGACCUGCACGAAUGGCGUAAUGAUGGCCAGGCUGUCUCCACCCGAGACUCAGUGAAAUUGAACUCGCUGUGAAGAUGCAGUGUACCCGCGGCAAGACGGAAAGACCCCGUGAACCUUUACUAUAGCUUGACACUGAACAUUGAGCCUUGAUGUGUAGGAUAGGUGGGAGACUUUGAAGUGUGGACGCCAGUCUGCAUGGAGUCAACCUUGAAAUACCACCCUUUAACGUUUGAUGUUCUAACCUAGGUCCAUAAUCUGGAUCGGGGACCGUGUCUGGUGGGUAGUUUGACUGGGGCGGUCUCCUCCUAAAGAGUAACGGAGGAGCACGAAGGUUGGCUAAGCAUGGUCGGACAUCAUGCGGUUAGUGCAAAGGCAUAAGCCAGCUUGACUGUGAGAGUGACGGCUCGAGCAGGUACGAAAGUAGGUCUUAGUGAUCCGGUGGUUCUGAAUGGAAGGGCCAUCGCUCAACGGAUAAAAGGUACUCCGGGGAUAACAGGCUGAUACCGCCCAAGAGUUCAUAUCGACGGCGGUGUUUGGCACCUCGAUGUCGGCUCAUCACAUCCUGGGGCUGAAGUAGGUCCCAAGGGUAUGGCUGUUCGCCAUUUAAAGUGGUACGCGAGCUGGGUUUAGAACGUCGUGAGACAGUUCGGUCCCUAUCUGCCGUGGGCGUUGGAAGAUUGAGAGGGGUUGCUCCUAGUACGAGAGGACCGGAGUGAACGCACCACUGGUGUUCGGGUUGUCAUGCCAAUGGCAUUGCCCGGUAGCUAAGUGCGGAAGAGAUAACCGCUGAAAGCAUCUAAGCGGGAAACUUGCCUCGAGAUGAGUCUUCCCUGUCACCUUGAGUGACCUAAAGGAACGUUUAAGACUAAGACGUUGAUAGGCUGGGUGUGUAAGCGUAGCGAUACGUUGAGCUAACCAGUACUAAUGAACCGUGAGGCUUAACCUGACAACACCGAAGGUGUUU
Molecule: ribosomal RNA, 2930 nt
Filed under: Proteus vulgaris
Lineage: Bacteria; Pseudomonadati; Pseudomonadota; Gammaproteobacteria; Enterobacterales; Morganellaceae
Description: 23S ribosomal RNA
Rfam family: Bacterial large subunit ribosomal RNA
Source: RNAcentral